This 301-nucleotide ribosomal RNA is filed under the name uncultured bacterium. RNAcentral's name for it is "partial 16S ribosomal RNA". It matches the Rfam family "Bacterial small subunit ribosomal RNA", at positions 509 to 807 of the family's 1533-position model. The record is from RNAcentral.
CAGCAGCCGCGGGAAAACGUAGGUGGCAAGCGUUGUCCGGAAUUAUUGGGCGUAAAGGGCUCGCAGGCGGUUUCUUAAGUCUGAUGUGAAAGCCCCCGGCUCAACCGGGGAGGGUCAUUGGAAACCGGGAAACUUGAGUGCAGAAGAGGAGAGUGGAAUUCCACGUGUAGCGGUGAAAUGCGUAGAGAUGUGGAGGAACACCAGUGGCGAAGGCGACUCUCUGGUCUGUAACUGACGCUGAGGAGCGAAAGCGUGGGGAGCGAACAGGAUUAGAUACCCGCGUAGUCCCUGUCUCUUAUAC